GCUUCCUUGGUAUAGUGGCUGUGCCGCGUCCUUCCAAGUCGCUGAGGCCAGUUCGAUCCUGGCAGGACGCUCCA
This 74-nucleotide transfer RNA is filed under the name Parcubacteria group bacterium ADurb.Bin216. Its description in RNAcentral is "tRNA-Gly". The record is from RNAcentral.